Molecule: ribosomal RNA, 265 nt
Filed under: uncultured bacterium
Lineage: Bacteria
Description: partial 16S ribosomal RNA
Rfam family: Bacterial small subunit ribosomal RNA
Source: RNAcentral
GUCCACGCCCUAAACGAUGUCGACUGGUUGUUGGGGGUUUGACACUCUCAGUAACGAAGCUAACGCGUGAAGUCGACCGCCUGGGGAGUACGGCCGCAAGGUUAAAACUAAAAGGAAUUGACGGGGACCCGCACAAGCGGUGGAUUAUGUGGAUUAAUUCGAUGCAACGCGAAAAACCUUACCUACCCUUGACAUGUCCGAGAGCCUGCUGAGAGGCGGGUGUGCCCGAAAGGGAAUCGGAACACAGGUGCUGCAUGGCUGUCGU